UACGUAGGGUGCGAGCGUUAAUCGGAAUUACUGGGCGUAAAGAGCUCGUAGGUGGUUUGUCGCGUUGUUCGUGAAAACUCACAGCUCAACUGUGGGCGUGCGGGCGAUACGGGCAGACUGGAGUACUGCAGGGGAGACUGGAAUUCCUGGUGUAGCGGUGGAAUGCGUAGAGAUCCGGAGGAACACCAGCGGCGAAGGCGGCAGCCUGGACUGGUCCUGACACUCAUGAGCGAAAGCGUGGGGAGCGAUCCGG
Molecule: ribosomal RNA, 253 nt
Filed under: uncultured bacterium
Lineage: Bacteria
Description: partial 16S ribosomal RNA
Rfam family: Bacterial small subunit ribosomal RNA
Source: RNAcentral